UAAAGCCAGCCUGCCACAGCUGAGCAGACCGCUGCAGUCGCGUUCGCCGAGCGGAUGCACUCACGCACACAUGCAAGCGCCCAUUUCCACUCGCCCCAAAAGUGCAUUCGCACAACUCACUCAAUGAGCUCAGUCAGCGAGUGAGAGAGAGAGAGAGUGAGUACGGCUGAGAGAGCGCGAGUUAGCCGGCUUGUGUGUGCAACUGUAUGGGUGCCUUCAUUCAUGGCAGCCGGUAAAAAAAGGCUAAAAGCGAAAUUGGUUAACAGAGAGCCAGGCCAGGCAGCCAGCAGCAAGAAGCUAGAAGCUAGAAGCUAGACGUUGGAAAAAAAGGCGAAGAAAAAGAAAAUGGUGGCUCAGAGAGCGCUGGAUUUUUCGCUCAAGUCGCCGCUGGAAAGGCCAAGAGCAAGUACAGUGCAAUUUUUAAUUGCACACACACACACACAGAGACUCACACACAGAUGGAGUCACACAUACACACACAUAUACAUAGAUGCAUAAUGCACGCUCUCUGAGAAUUUCACACACAUUUUUUUUAUUCAACCAGCAUUUUGUUCUCGAGUUUGUAAAAAUUUGCAACGACUCGCCGCCAGUAGUGGUGUUUGCAUUUAUUUGUAGUUUUUUUUUUUCGCUGUGCCGUUCAGCCUCAGUUUUUGGUGGGUUUUCGAGUUUUUAGGUCCGCGUCCGAAUCGCCAGCGUUCGGCACUGGAGGCGCUCACUCACCGCUCGAAAUGCAACUGGCGGCCAGCGACGAAGCGAACCGAUCCGAGCCGGCUAUACGUCUAUAUAUUCCACAUCCACUUCCCACAUCGGUGGGUCUUCUCGGGCGGCGUGCGGGGUCUGCGGGGUGCGGAAAUCGGCGGGAGGAAUACGUCGCCUACCGUUGCACAUGCACUUUUUAAGUUUUUUUUUAUUUUGGUUUCGAGCUUUUGUUGUUUUCGCGUUUUUUUUUCUUUUUUCGGUGCGAUUGUCGAGUGCGCGUACUGGGUAUUCAAAUUAUUCACUUGGGUUUUCACUUUGAGGAGUGGCGAUUCUUGUGAGAAAGUCGCCAAAGGAUCCUUAGAUGGUGACCUCCAAAGAUUGAGCGAUCGAUAAUUGGUUUUUUCGGCGUUGACUUGGCGUUGGCGUUGACUGGAACAACUUUUGGACCGGACCGCUGGAGAACGAGAUGUGGGCGGUGGAGGGGCAGCUACUUGGAGUCUAUGGGGGGGUGGGGGUGCUACUCUGGGCCUGGCCCCUGGUCUCUGCCAGAAUUUUGAGUCGUGACUGGUUUCAAGGUCCCUCAAUUAAUGCGAAAAUUUCGUUGUAAUUUUUGUGCCGCCUUUUUUUUUGUUGUUUUUGUUGUGCUGUUUGUGUUUGCAUGAUUGUAAAUGAAAGAAACAAAAUUCGUGUAUAAUAAAAAUAGUAAUUGUUUA
Molecule: long non-coding RNA, 1412 nt
Organism: Drosophila yakuba
Lineage: Eukaryota; Metazoa; Arthropoda; Insecta; Diptera; Drosophilidae
Exons: 2
Source: RefSeq, a predicted model, not a curated record